This is a long non-coding RNA of Venturia canescens, 647 nucleotides long. RefSeq lists it as uncharacterized. NCBI's taxonomy places the organism in Eukaryota, Metazoa, Arthropoda, Insecta, Hymenoptera, Ichneumonidae. The record is from RefSeq and is a predicted model, not a curated record. The transcript is spliced from 4 exons.
GUAUUUAUUCUCUUUCCCAACCUCCCAAAGUGGAUUAUCGCGGUAGCUCGCGUCGGUUUGGGAUCCUCGGAGUCAGACAAAGCCAUUUCGAACGCCAUUCAAGGUUGGGGAUGAGCCACUUCGGGGCAUUCAGUCUUCUCAUUAAGGUCGCUUUCUCAUUUAUUUGGGAAAGCAGUUAAAAUAUUGAGCUCCCAGGACUCUGGGUUUAAGGACCCAUCAUCCUGGGUCCAGUGCCAACACAAAUAUUGAGCUCACAGACAUAAAGCCCGUUUUAGACACUGCUGGACGUAUGUAAGCCGUUAAAAAGGCACGAGGAAGAAGAAGAAGAAGAAGAAGCGAGAAACGGGAAGGAAUGAAAAAUACUCGAAGGAGUGUGUCUCCUCGUGGAAAGGGGUCAAAGGUCAAUUUCAGAGCGCGCUCGGUCUCGCUCUUAUAUUUUUCCCUCAUUCUCGUUUCGUGUUACAUUCGUCGUGGUUCGAUGUUGUAGCAUAAGGUCGGCUGAUGUUUCGUCGGUUUUCUCCAAUCUUGAUGCAAUAGAGUGGGAAAAUGGAGUUUGACGAGAUUCUACAAGAGUCGGUUACCGAAUGAACUUUAGGAUUGAAAAUAUUUCGUAUUUAUUCUCAUGUAUGCAGGAUCGAUACGUACUC